RNAcentral lists this ribosomal RNA (509 nucleotides) under uncultured bacterium. RNAcentral's name for it is "bacterial SSU rRNA". It matches the Rfam family "Bacterial small subunit ribosomal RNA", at positions 17 to 518 of the family's 1533-position model. The record is from RNAcentral.
UCCUGGCUCAGGAUGAACGCUAGCUACAGGCUUAACACAUGCAAGUCGAGGGGCAGCAUUGGGAUAGCUGCUAUUCAGAUGGCGACCGGCGCACGGGUGAGUAACGCGUAUCCAACCUCCUGCCAGUAAGGAACAGCCCGGCGAAAGUCGGAUUAAUGCCCUAUGUUCUUCAAUGCGGACAUCUAAGUUGAAGGAAAGAUUCAUCGCUGGCAGAUGGGGAUGCGUCCGAUUAGCUUGCCGGCGGGGUAACGGCCCACCGGGGCGACGAUCGGUAGGGGUUCUGAGAGGAAGGUCCCCCACACUGGUACUGAGACACGGACCAGACUCCUACGGGAGGCAGCAGUGAGGAAUAUUGGUCAAUGGGCGUAAGCCUGAACCAGCCAAGUAGCGUGCAGGAUGACGGCCCUACGGGUUGUAAACUGCUUUUAUGCGGGGAUAAAGUGCGGCACGUGUGCCGCUUUGCAGGUACCGCAUGAAUAAGGACCGGCUAAUUCCGUGCCAGCCGCGGC